This 508-nucleotide ribosomal RNA is filed under the name uncultured bacterium. RNAcentral describes it as "partial 16S ribosomal RNA". It matches the Rfam family "Bacterial small subunit ribosomal RNA", at positions 30 to 523 of the family's 1533-position model. The record is from RNAcentral.
AUUGAACGCUGGCGGCAGGCCUAACACAUGCAAGUCGAGCGGCAGCGGGAAAGUAGCUUGCUACUUUCGCCGGCGAGCGGCGGACGGGUGAGUAAUGCCUGGGGAUCUGCCCAAUCGAGGGGGAUAACUACUGGAAACGGUAGCUAAUACCGCAUACGCCCUACGGGGGAAAGCAGGGGACCUUCGGUCCUUGCGCGAUUGGAUGAACCCAGGUGGGAUUAGCUAGUUGGUGAGGUAAUGGCUCACCAAGGCGACGAUCCCUAGCUGGUCUGAGAGGAUGAUCAGCCACACUGGAACUGAGACACGGUCCAGACUCCUACGGGAGGCAGCAGUGGGGAAUAUUGCACAAUGGGGGAAACCCUGAUGCAGCCAUGCCGCGUGUGUGAAGAAGGCCUUCGGGUUGUAAAGCACUUUCAGCGAGGAGGAAAGGUUGGUAGCUAAUAACUGCCAGCUGUGACGUUACUCGCAGAAGAGGCACCGGCUAACUCCGUGCCAGCCGCCGCAGUAA